This is a long non-coding RNA of Podarcis raffonei (Aeolian wall lizard), 8861 nucleotides long. RefSeq lists it as uncharacterized. The transcript is spliced from 4 exons. The record is from RefSeq and is a predicted model, not a curated record. NCBI's taxonomy places the organism in Eukaryota, Metazoa, Chordata, Lepidosauria, Squamata, Lacertidae.
GUAAUGGUAAUAUACCAAAAAUGGCACAAGGUGGUGUCCAGCAUUCUCUGCUCACUAGCACAAAGGCUCUUACAGUAGUGGGUAGUUGAGUUUUCAUGUUGCUGAACAGAGGACCAGGUAACAAUUGUGCUAGUGGAUUUUUUGGGGCAACAGAUUGCCCAAUUUUGUUGCACAAUAAAGUGCAACCUUAAGUUCAGUUCAUAAGAGAUUUGGAACAAAAAUUGGUCUGGUUCCUUGACAUUCUGCUUCCUGCAACUGGUAUCUUCCAGCUUCAUUCCCCAGUCACUCUCUUAAGAUGACACUUCUAUUUUUUUCAGUUUCUCAACAUCUGGUGAUUUAAAAAAAAAUAAUAAUAAAAAGUCUUGAUGAAAAUCCAUCAGCAUUUUGGUGCACAUUUCUUCUAAUUUAUGGGUGGGACUUUCUCCCAAUUUUGCCUAAUAGACACAUUUUGCAAGCAUUUUUUAAAACCAAUAUAUUGAAUUUUUGUAUGUUAUUCUUACUAAACUAUAUAUUUUUGUGUGUGUGCACAUCUUCCCCUAAUAUUUGCAUUUUUUUUUACACAUCCUUUGGGUAGGAGAAAUGAAUUGCAAAAUUCAAAUUCAGUUCGUGUAUGUACGGAAGGCCAAAUUAGGCAGGUUUGCCUUAAAAUGUGAAUUGAACAAAAUUUCUCUCCAUCCCUAAUAUGAAUGCACCGAGCUAUUUUGAUGUCUGAAAUCAGACCCAAAUUGUUCUCCCUCGCUGUUGAGGACCACCACUUUUCAAAGGACUUGACCCAUUCAGACACCAUUCUCUGCUUUCCUCUAUUCUUUCCUCAGCUCCACCCUGGGCAGAAUCACCUGAAGCAUAUUGCCUCCUCUGCUUCACGGCAAAGCCAGCUCCGGCAAAAAAUGAAUCUUCAAAAGAGUAAGAACAUCUUUUGCAUAAUGUACCCCUGUCCACCGUUCUAUGAAUUCCUUUUGGACGGAGAUUUGAUUGCCACCCCAAACAAUGACAUUUAGAUGGCAACCUAAAAAUGUUUUUAUUUCACUAGGCUUUUGGUGGUUUGCCACAUCUUGCAAAAGAAAUGGCCUACGGUUGACUGUAUCGUUGUUGAUUCAUUGAUGACUCCUAAUUACUGUUUUAAAUACAUUUCUUUCAUUUUAAACAUUGUUCUUAGACUCCCUGAGCUCCAUUAGUGGGAAGAGCAGGGUGAUAAGUACAGUAAAUAAAUAAGUAAGUAUAUAAUGAACAAACUUUAAAAAUUCCACAGUAAUUGGAGAUCCUUGUAGAGCCUGAAGACACAUGUGGCAAAGACCAUGGAAAGAGCAAAGGUUUUCCCCCUUUGGAGGAACGUUUUAUCCCCAACUUCCUUCCAAACCUGCACACUUGCUAAGUAAAAGGUUGUCAGCUAGCUGAAAAUAAAGAACACCUUCCCCUUUAUUGUGGGCAGGCAAUGUUUUAAUUGCAUUUGCAUUGAUGAAAGUGCUGAGAGGAUUCCCUGUCACACAUAAACUUAAACAGAAUGAUGCUUCAUUCCCAGCAAUUUGUGGCUUCAGUGUUCCUGUUAUCCUCAUAGCACACUCUUGUGCACUAAAGCAUAGCCGGUCUUGAAACAUUUGUGUCAUUUUACACCAUUAAACCUUCAAAACACACUCAUUCGGAGUUGCACAGUGACACUCCUCAUCAAAGAAAAGACUUUUUCAACCCAGUGAAUUGUAACUAUUCUACUGAAUAUAUUUACACGGAAAAAAUAAAAUAAAAGCCUAUAUGAAUUUUUAAAUGUCCACUUAUUCAAUUAUUGCCAUAUAUCAAGGGCAGGCUCCUACAUUUCAGAAAGCACAAUGUACAAUGUAUUUUUUUUUCUCCUCUUAGAGAUUUAUUCUCCGAAAAUCAGCCUCAUUUAUUGCAAAUUCUUUCACAUGCCUGGCUGGAAAAGCAUAUCUGCAGGGUGAUGCAUCUAUAUGUCUUUCUAUACAGUCAUUAGGCUGAAAAACAUUUUAGAAGGUAUGCGAAAAUCCUGCAUAAAUGGUAUCUAUUUUCUGCCUAUCAGAUGCUUCUCAGUAAAAUUACACUGCAAUUCAAAACUCAAAUUUAUAUUAGACAUCAAAACUCAACCUGUGAAGCCUUUGCUUCUACUUGUGAGCAAUUACUUACCGGUACACCAUUAUACCAGGCUUCCUCAACCUCGGCCCUCCAGAUGUUUUGAGACUACAAUUCCCAUCAUCCCUGACAACUGGUCCUGCUAGCUAGGGAUCAUGGGAGUUGUAGGCCAAAAACUUCUGGAGGGCUGAGGUUGAGGAAGCCUGCAUUAUACCAAUUCCAUCAAAGUGAGCUGAUGCUUCACCAUGUUUUUGCCCUUUGCUAAGAGCUGCCGUGUAUGACCAGUGAAUGACCAAGUUGCAUGAUGAUGUCACACUGAAGCUCUUUCUUUCAUUGACAGCUAGAGCCUCCACAUCACAAAAGGCCAAAAAUGUAGAGCUGAUAUUCACACAUCCUUGUGUGAUGUCUCAGCUGAUAUCUCAGCCUACAGAAGCUUGUAGCUCCAUUAAGUACUGUGUUUGAGGUUCCCUUUACCUUUGAGGUGAUAAAGCCUUAUCUGUGGUAAUUGAUCUGUGAUGUAUCCCAAUUUGUAUACACUAAUUAUGCGGGGCAUUAUACAACAUCACUUGUUUAGUGAGCUUUUAUUCUGAUUUGUUUGCCAGGAGGUUAUACAACCGCCUUAAGCAGUUGUUGCUACCCCACAUUUUCUGGUGCCUAUUGCCCAUCACUUUCUUUACAGCAAAAAAUCCAUUGUGAGCUGUGCAAGAGUUCCAAAUCCAUUUUCACUGUGCACUUUCCAUUUGCUGGUUUGCCGCUGAAUCCCAUCUGCAAAAUAACAACAGUCUGGAAACAGCCUGGGUCUUAUUUUUUACACAUAGUUUGGAAAACUUCAGAAGGUUCUAGAAAAUUAAGAAACAGGAGCUUGGAACUUUAAUAAAAAAUAAAGCUGGUAAGAACACAUGAUAAAAGCAGUCAGUCUGAUACAGCCAUUGAUACUAAAAGGAGUUUUCCUUUCUUUUCCCAGGCAACGAAGAGAGCAGCUUGAAUGGCAUUUCAUGUUCAUCAUAACAACCACAAUAAUUAAAAAUUGAUGCUGCAACACACAUUGGAAUGUGGAAAACAAACAGGGGCCAGAAUCAGCUGACCUAAGGUGUACCCAGGCUCCCUUGCGUCCCUCGCAAGCAGCUGUAUCAGCACUCCCCAUCCACUGUACCCUUGAAAAGGAGAUGUAUUUCCUUCCCUGCCCCUUCGCCUGGCUGCCCAGAACAGCGGAGGAGCAGCUCAGGGAGUGCACAGAUGGACGGGGAGAGGAGGGAGAAGAUGAGAGAGUGCUAGCUAGAAUGGGCAGAAGAUUAUUUCUUCUGAAAAGGAAUUCUGGAUUUGGAAUACUGUGAUAAAAAUUAAAUAACUGCAAAAGAAGAUUCUCAUUGAUUCAUCAUAAACAGAGAAGAGCCCUUCUAGAUCAAAACCAAAGGACCAUCUAGUCCAGCAGCAUCCUGCUCAUCAUGGUGGCCAACCAGAAAUUUCUUGGAAACCCAAAAGCAGGAUAUGAAGAUGUCUUCACUAUGUGCCAACUGGGGGCAUGAGAGAGAGAGAGCAAUUCACUCCAUCUGUAUCUUGCAGUUAGAGUGAGUAUCCAAGAGAUAAUCAGAUUCAACAGCCCUGGCCAUACUUUUUAAAGGAGGAAGUUUCAGAGACCUCCAAGUUCAAUGCUGGGCAGAUCAUAUUUUGGCAAGUUAUAUUUUAAACAUAUUUGGGUCAGGUCCUGGGUUUUAUACUCCUCAUGUGGCAGGAAGUGAUGGUGGCUGAUCUUAAAAGAAAAUUAUGGGAGCAAAAGCUGUUUUUGAAAACUGCCAUACUGCUGACAGUUACGGUGGACAUUUACUUCAAUCUUGUUAAACAUAUUAAUUGAGCUUCCACCGGAAGCUGUGCUCUAAAGUGGCUUACUGUUUCUUUUAAAAGAAAUAUUUCAUCAAAGACUUAACUCCAUGUAGGCUAUCGUUACCAUUCAAUUUAUAAUUUCAUUUAUCCCAAACGUGCAGAGACUGUCCUUCACACAGCUUAAGGAAGCUUGAAGCAGCAUCUGCAGAGAUAUGUUUAUUGUGAAACUGUAAAAGUCCUGAGCACUGCUCAUUGAGCUCAGACAAACAGCUGAAAAUACAGCCUGCCUUUGCAAACUUCAGUGUAUGACAUGGAGAGCUGGCAGACUGCCUGGUUUCUACUUAAAGGAUUGUCAUUCAGGGAAAAAUAAAUUUCUCUAACUAGACAAAAGUCAAUGUUUUCAUGUUUUACUGCAAUCAGACUGAUACAGCUGAUAAUUUAGUCUCAACACUUAUAAUAUCUGCGGCUAAUCAGUUACCUCAAUCAAUCAUAACUACAGGAUUCCUCUAUUUUUUGAGUCUGUAUAAAUAUGACUAAGAUGUUUAACAUUUCAGAUCCCCCUCCCACUAAUAUUUUAUGACAUUUUAUUGAGCAACAGAGAGCUUUUGCAUGUAUUAGCAGAUCCAUUUGGAAACUGCCUUUUUUAAAUACAAAAUUACAACAAGCCUGAAUGUAAUCAGAAGUGCAAACCUUUCUUUUAACAUUCCAUUCCAUUCCAUUCUAUUUUAAUUUUAUGUAUAUCUUCUAGUCUGUUCACCUGUCAAGGAGAUGUGGAAAUGUGCUGGCAUUCCAGCUGAAGACAUCAUUAUGAGUGAGAAAAUGCUCAAGGCCUUUUUUCAAAGUGGGUGCUGAAAGAGGCGCUUUCCUUCUUUGACUCCAGGGGAUGCUGAUAGCUACCCCGGCAGACAGGUAUUGUGGGGUCAGAGGUUAGCAAUGGUGUGUGUGUGUGUGUGCGCAUGCUUGUGUGCACCCUCAGGAUUUUAUUGGAAGACAGGUAAGCAAAUUUAAUAAAUAUAUUAAUAAGGAUGCACCGCACAAAAGGAAGACAUUGACAACAAAGGAAAAGCAACCUGCAAAGAGUGAAUGAAUUCUGGGCAGCCCAGCGCUUGGCAGAAGUGAUUUUAAUAUCUGACAGGUUGAGUUCCCUAAUCUUUGCUAUUGAUAUUGACGGGAAGCUUCAUAUGGUUUUAGAGAUUUGUAUCUAUUAAGACAUGCUGCGGUGUUCCUACAACAUGGGAACAAGUUUGCUGGAGAUCACUGUUCUUCUUUCUCUGUGAUAAAAAUUGAUAUGAACUGUUUUAAACUGCUAGCAGAUAAUUACUCUGAACACUCAAUAAGGAAAGCUAUAUCUUUAGAGCCUUCCUUUAUCUUAAAAAAAAAAAAAUCCACUCCCCCCCUCUUUUGUUUCUUUGAUUACUUGGAGCCUUGUAAUCAAACUAAGCUUAGUUUCAGGACCCUUGGGGCAGUAUCUCUUAGUUCCCUGUCAAGCUGCGUUGCAAAACAAUCAAUCUUGCUCUUGCACUCUCUUGGCGGAAGUGCCAGGACACGAAGAGUGCAAUGCUUUGCUCUUGCCGUGAAGCCUCAAUGACAAACGUUUUUAUAAGAAGCUGACUGUAUUUAGGGUUAUGAAUAUGCAAUGACUCUCAUUAGUAUUGAAGCACAGGAGCAGGGGCUGACAUCCCCCCGCCACUUUGAGCUGCUGCAGAAUUGUCUAAUGAAUUGUCUUGCUCUUUCCCUUGCACAGGCUUUUUCUGUUGUGGCUCCCAGUUCCAAGGGGAGUUGCCCAGUUUGAGAAUACUAUUGACUGCAGAAAUUAAUUGCCAAGAACUGCUCUUGAUUUUGCUAAACAAUCUUGAGACAGUGUUCAAAUUGUCAAAACAGAAAGCCAUUCAACUCUACACGGGAUAAAAUCAACACGAGGGAGGGGACCUAUGUGCCAAUUAAUGUGGACACACACUUUGUCCAUGUGCACAUAUGUAUCGUACCAAAUGUUGCAUGUGCGUCUCCGAUAACACAUGCAUGAACAUGCCAGGAUGCAAGACUGAAACUGGGUCAAACCAAGUCAUAGAAAUCUGACAUUCUAUUGGUUUGGCACUUUGUCUUCUCAGUAGAACAAAGAGGGAUGACUGAAGGAUCUCAGAAUGAAAGCUAUUCACAUAGCACAAAGCUAUUUUGUGAACCUUUUAGGACUCUUUCUCACACUCCCUUGCUUUCCAUCAGAGCCCCCACCAAACAUUUUGUGGUUCAUGCAUACACCGUCUACCAUGAAUGCGAUGCUGAUAAUAAUGUUUCCAGUAACAGAUUAAGAUAUCCAUCUGGAGGCGUAGUAUAUGAGAUGCUGAUAAACAUGCUUGCCUACAUGUCUCUGCCAGAUAAAUUAAAUUCUGUCCAUGUUAUAGUUCACUCUUUAAAAACAACAACAACACCAUAAAGGGAAUUUGGUGCUCCUUUGCAAAUUGCAAAAGAUAGGAAUGAACGGAAUCUGAUAAGCUCUUUCAAAGAGGCAUAAGUAGGCUGAAAAGAGCUACAUAUAGAUAGCUUCAUACACUUACUUCAUUUAAUUUAUAUUAAAAGCAGCUUCACUGAAAGGAGAAAAAAGUUGUUAAUGUUUGAUCCAUUUUGGGGGACGUUGACCACCUCCACCUGUGUCCAGAUUCAUGUUUCCAUCUUCUGUGGAAUCUCUCUCUAUAGGAGUACAGUGUAAGAAUAAAUGCAGUUCUGACAAAAGUGGCGCAAGUAUCAUACAUCAAACACUUGUUACCUCUCUUGGCCUUAGUGAUUGCACAUGACUAAGAACAAGUCAGUGAUAAAAUCUGAAGAAAGAUGAAACCAAUCUGGGCCUUUCUAAAGACCAUCAAUCACUCUGUGCAACCAUGAUAUUAUUAGCUCAAGUAAGCCUUGUUCUCCCAUUUAAUGGACAUCAUAAACCCCCCAUCCUCUUCCUAUCCUGAGACCAGUGCUACCAUGGGAAAUCAUUUUUAUGGGCAAUAUCUUAGUAGGGAACCAAUCAGAUCUAAUCACAUAACAAGCUACUGAAUUAUUCAACAUUCUCCCUAAAUUUGCAUUCUAGCUCUUCUUUACUGUCAGCCCAUACUUCUAAAAAUAUGUGGAUUUUAUUUUUUAAAAAACAGCCCGCAAUAUUAUAUUAAGAAGUCAAUGCUAUGUGAGGAUUUAAAAAAAAAUAAUAAUCUGUGCAUCUUCUGGUUAUCAUUGGUUUCUACUGAUUUCUACCACAUGUGAAUUGCCAUGUAAGAAUAUUUCAUUCUUGUUUUUUUUGCCUUUCAAAAUUACAUCGCCACUAAAUCCUAACCACUCCCAGCUGUAAAAACAGCAGGCCCAAGGACAGAAAAAGUGAAACAAUGGUUUUGGAAAACAUAAAAUGUUUGACUGUACUAAGCAAAUAAUAACUGGUACAUCUCAUCGAUGUUGUUAUGAACUCUGGAAUUGUAUUAUAUGAAAAUAUUUCAGUUUUAAUUGCAAAUCUGGAUAGAGAUGAUUUGGGGUCUGUAAUUAGCACAUAAAUUCCAGAGUUUGUGACUGCUGUGAAAACACGCAGUAUUUAUGGAAUGAUUAUUUAAAUAUAAUUCAAUGUUUCUUGCUUUCAGCAAAUAUUGCAAAAUCCGAUUUAAUAAAGAGAAAAUGGUUAGUUCAUGGAUUUCUAAUAUCACACCAUCAGCUCAUUCCACCUACUACAGAUUUCAAUCUGUGUUGUUUGGAACUUUGUUUCCAUUGCAAAGUUUCUGUACCGGCAUAAAAAGUAGAAAUGCAUGUCUGUAAAAAGAUUAAGAGUGUGGCAGUGCUGCAAAUGUUGUACAUGUGCAAAGCCAUAACAGGAGUUCAAGGGAUGGGUAUCUGUCAUGCACCCGCCAAUCCCAUAACUAACUGUUUAAAAGAGAACCUCUAUUACUCCAGUCAGAUAAUUGGCUCUCACCCAUCAGUGGCAACUGGUUUUUCAGGGCUACCUGAAACUGCCAGGUACUCUCUGGGAUCAGAGUCUGGAUGAAAGUAGCAUACCGUCAACAUGCUGAGAUAAAGUAGGUCACCCCAUCCUGAAUGUGAUGAGUGGUAUAUCUCUUAUGCCCUCUCCCACACUUCAUUACAUAUUUGUACUUGUGUGUAAAGUUUUGCACACUUUGCACACCUGUCAUGAUUUUCAAGAAAUUAGUUAUGAACUGACACUAGAAUCAGAGCAUUUACUUCAUGGAACAAUGCUUUGAUUGUAUAUUGGAAGUUUUCUUGUUUUUGUUUUAAAUAAAUAAAAGCCAACAUGUACAUUCAGGUCUGAACUAAAUGAUAUGGCUGCUCUUUUCAGAACCAUUGGUUGGAUCCAGACCAAGGCUGCGAUCCUAAAACCGCUUGCCUGGGAGUAAGCCCCAUAGAAUUCAAUGAAAUUUAUUGUACUUAGUUCCCAUUUUAAUUAAUAGGCUGUUUAGCUUUAAUCCAAUUUCAAUGGGAUCAAUGUGCAAUUAAGUUAUUCCUCAUCCAACUCCAUAUUUUUGGGCAACAUGCCUAUUACAUUUUCCCAUAGGCCACCUUCUCUUUUCACAUAUUGGGACAGGUACACGUGUGGGCAUGCUGUCUCUUCUUCACAUAUGUCACUGUAUAAAGAAGUUGGCGAUUUUGCUGCUUCAACUGAGCAGCUGAUUGAUACUUUAUACAUGAUUUCCCCACACAGCAUGAAACAUGCCAGCCAUUUGUAUUUCAUAGCAAAAUGUACACAAUUGUAAAUCUAUCAAUAAAGUAUAAACUACAAAGAAUUCUGAAAGUUUGAAAGCACCAGAUAUAUGCAAGGGUAUGUAAGAUCACCAUCUUUCGGGAGUACCAAAAUUACCGUGUUUUUCGUCUAUAAGAUGCCCCCAUGUAUAAGACAACCCCUUUUUUGGGGGACUCAGAUUUAAGAAAAUAGGGGGAGAUAGCCCAGAGUAUAAGACGCCCCCUAAUUUUUGACAUUAUUUUUAAGG